RNAcentral lists this ribosomal RNA (253 nucleotides) under uncultured bacterium. RNAcentral describes it as "partial 16S ribosomal RNA". It matches the Rfam family "Bacterial small subunit ribosomal RNA", at positions 524 to 776 of the family's 1533-position model. The record is from RNAcentral.
UACGUAGGGCGCAAGCGUUGUCCGGAUUCAUUGGGCGUAAAGAGCGUGUAGGCGGCCAGGUAGGUCGGUUGUGAAAACUGGAGGCUCAACCUUCAGAGGUCGACCGAAACCAUCUGGCUAGAGUCCGGGAGAGGAGAGUGGAAUUCCCGGUGUAGCGGUGAAAUGCGCAGAUAUCAGGAAGAACGCCCGUGGCGAAAGCGGCUCUCUGGAACGGUACUGACGCUGAGGCGCGAAAGCGUGGGGAGCAAACAGG